Molecule: ribosomal RNA, 819 nt
Filed under: Limacella sp. G460
Lineage: Eukaryota; Fungi; Basidiomycota; Agaricomycetes; Agaricales; Amanitaceae
Description: eukaryotic LSU rRNA
Rfam family: 5.8S ribosomal RNA (bases 297-450)
Source: RNAcentral
GGUUCCCNUUGAGAAGUAAAAGUCGUAACAAGGUUUCCGUAGGUGAACCUGCGGAAGGAUCAUUAUUGAAAGCUUUGGGGAUACUGAUGCUGGUUUCUAACGAGGGCAUGUGCACGUAUCUCUAAUCCAUUCAUCCACCUGUGCACCUUUUGUAGAAGUUCAUUCAGGAUUGGCUUGCAAGUGUCUUAUGGACCUUGUUUACAGUUGGUUUUGAAAGGCUUCUAUGUUCUUACAAACUAGUUAAGCAUGUUUAGAAUGUUGUUUCUGGGGACUUAAUUGACCCUUUAAACUUGUACAACUUUCAGCAACGGAUCUCUUGGCUCUCCCAUCGAUGAAGAACGCAGCGAAAUGCGAUAAGUAAUGUGAAUUGCAGAAUUCAGUGAAUCAUCGAAUCUUUGAACGCACCUUGCGCCCUCUGGUAUUCCGGAGGGCAUGCCUGUUUGAGUGUCAUUAAAUUCUCAACUUCAAUAGUUUUUAUAACUUGUUGAAGCUUGGAUGUGGGGGUUUGCUGGCGUCUUAGAUGUUCGGCUCCUCUUAAAUGCAUUAGUAGGAACCCGUUUGUUGGCUUCUAAAGUGUGAUAAUUAUCUACGCUUUGGCUAGUUCAACGACUCUAACUCAGAACGUUGGGUUUUGUACUUUAUUGUGCUUUACCUGGUUUGUUCUCAGAAUGCUAAGGUGUUCUGGAUUUGGGUGUUGCACUUUUUGUGCUUACCUUUAGAGUGGGACUCUGCUUUCUAACCGUCCGUAUAUGCGGACAAUUUUUGACAAUCUGACCUCAAAUCAGGUAGGACUACCCGCUGAACUUAAGCAUAUCAUAA